CUCCUCAAUUUUGAGCCAGAUCAGCUAGGCAUGUAAAAAUAUUUUCUGAUGGUAUACCUGCUACUAUUGUUUCAGUUGGAAGACCAUUCAGGGUCUAACUUAAAAGACUUUAAAGUGAAGCAGGCAGAAGUCCACUUCUGAAAGAGAAAAGAUACAAUGGCUUCCUGAGAGUGAUGGUAAAAGCUACUGAAAGUAAUGGGAGCAGAAGGUGUUUGUACCACAGCUCCUGAAUUCACACAGGAUGAAGCAGAAAUUUAUUCUUUGACAAACAUGGAGGGCAGCAUUGGAAUCAAAGGAUGUGAGUCCAAGUCUUGGCUUUUCAAAUUAUAUCAGACUUGCUCUUAACUUCUUAUGUGUGGUGAAUUCAAGAAUCUGUACCUGCCCACUAGCAACAAAACUACAGUGAAGGAGCAGAAUGCCUGUUUGACUCACCCUGACAGAUCAGCUUUGGCAGGUCUGCUGUUGCAGAAAAUUCUCCACCCCAGAGGUUUUAUCUCUCCUGCAGGGAAGGCUCAUGAGCAAAUGCUGUCAUUAGCAACCAUGCACUGUUGAAGACAUAUAGUGAGAAAAUAUGUCAUGCAUUGUUUCCAUGUACCAAUUUUAGUAUAAAAUCAUGAAGAAUUUUCAAGAUAUUAACUACAAGUUAAAACAAUUUUUAACCUAAAUCCUGAGA
Non-coding RNA from Saimiri boliviensis boliviensis (Bolivian squirrel monkey), 673 nucleotides. The record is from RefSeq and is a predicted model, not a curated record. Lineage: Eukaryota; Metazoa; Chordata; Mammalia; Primates; Cebidae.